This 139-nucleotide small nuclear RNA is filed under the name Cyphellophora europaea CBS 101466. RNAcentral's name for it is "U4 spliceosomal RNA". It matches the Rfam family "U4 spliceosomal RNA". Rfam says of the family: U4 small nuclear RNA (U4 snRNA) is a component of the major U2-dependent spliceosome. The structure of U4 snRNA from yeast and human has been reported. U4 snRNA presents a k-turn RNA motif in the 5p-SL related to recognition of Snu13 protein. The record is from Rfam by way of RNAcentral. Lineage: Eukaryota; Fungi; Ascomycota; Eurotiomycetes; Chaetothyriales; Cyphellophoraceae.
AACCGAGUGCAGGGGUUUUACGCGUGCAAGUGAGGAUUCGUCCGAUGCCGUGUUAUUGCUAGUUGAAAACUACAUAACCUUGACCGAUCCAGUUGGUCUUUCGAGAUCUUGACUGGUAAUUUUUUAAUUUCUGUUAUGA